This 406-nucleotide ribosomal RNA is filed under the name uncultured bacterium. RNAcentral describes it as "partial 16S ribosomal RNA". It matches the Rfam family "Bacterial small subunit ribosomal RNA", at positions 30 to 526 of the family's 1533-position model. The record is from RNAcentral.
AUUGAACGCUGGCGGCAGGCCUAACACAUGCAAGUCGAGCGAGCGGCGGACGGGUGAGUAAUGUCUGGGAAACUGCCUGAUGGAGGGGGAUAACUACUGGAAACGGUAGCUAAUACCGCAUACCAUCAGAUGUGCCCAGAUGGGAUUAGCAAGUGGGUGGGGUAACGGCUCACCUAGGCGACGAUCCCUAGCUGGUCUGAGAGGAUGACCAGCCAAACUGGACCUGGGACACGGUCCAGACUCCUACGGGAGGCAUCAGUGGGGAAUAUUGCCCAUUGGGCGCAAGCCUGAUGCAGCCAUGCGGCGUGUGUGAAGAAUGCCUUCGGGUUGUAAAGCACUUUCAGCGGGGAGGCGUUACCCGCAGAAGAAGCACCGGCUAACUCCGUGCCAGCAGCCGCGGUAAUAC